RNAcentral lists this transfer RNA (55 nucleotides) under Burkholderia pyrrocinia. It matches the Rfam family "tRNA", at positions 21 to 71 of the family's 71-position model. Rfam says of the family: Transfer RNA (tRNA) molecules are approximately 80 nucleotides in length. Their secondary structure includes four short double-helical elements and three loops (D, anti-codon, and T loops). RNAcentral also lists the same sequence under 7 other names. The record is from RNAcentral. Lineage: Bacteria; Pseudomonadati; Pseudomonadota; Betaproteobacteria; Burkholderiales; Burkholderiaceae.
GAAUACCGGCCUGUCACGCCGGGGGUCGCGGGUUCGAGUCCCGUCCGCUCCGCCA